GACGAACGCUGGCGGCGUGCUUAACACAUGCAAGUCGAACGGUGAAGCGCCUUCCUUUUUGGUGGGUGUGGAUGAGUGGCGAACGGGUGAGUAACACGUGAGUAACCUGCCCCCUUCUUCUGGAUAACCGCAUGAAAGUGUGGCUAAUACGGGAUAUUCUGGGUCUGUCGCAUGAUGGGUCUGGGAAAGAUAUUGUUUCGGUGGGGGAUGGGCUCGCGGCCUAUCAGCUUGUUGGUGGGGUGAUGGCCUACAAAGGCGGUGACGGGUAGCCGGCCUGAGAGGGUGGACGGUCACACUGGGACUGAGACACGGCCCAGACUCCUACGGGAGGCAGCAGUGGGGAAUAUUGCACAAUGGGCGCAAGCCUGAUGCAGCGACGCCGCGUGAGGGAUGGAGGCCUGCGGGUUGUGAACCUCUUUCGCCAGUGAAGCAGGCCUGCCUCGUUUGUGGGUGGGUUGACGGUAGCUGGAGAAGAAGCGCCGGCUAACUACGUG
This 494-nucleotide ribosomal RNA is filed under the name uncultured bacterium. RNAcentral's name for it is "partial 16S ribosomal RNA". It matches the Rfam family "Bacterial small subunit ribosomal RNA", at positions 28 to 507 of the family's 1533-position model. The record is from RNAcentral.